GAGGGUGUAGCUCAGUGGUAGAGCUCAUGCCUAGCAUGCACGAGGUCCUGGCUUUAAUCCCCAGUACCUCCA
Molecule: transfer RNA, 72 nt
Filed under: Camelus bactrianus (Bactrian camel)
Lineage: Eukaryota; Metazoa; Chordata; Mammalia; Artiodactyla; Camelidae
Also listed under: 2 other names
Rfam family: tRNA
About the family: Transfer RNA (tRNA) molecules are approximately 80 nucleotides in length. Their secondary structure includes four short double-helical elements and three loops (D, anti-codon, and T loops).
Source: Rfam by way of RNAcentral